Long non-coding RNA from Xiphophorus hellerii (green swordtail), 785 nucleotides. RefSeq lists it as uncharacterized. The record is from RefSeq and is a predicted model, not a curated record. The transcript is spliced from 3 exons. Lineage: Eukaryota; Metazoa; Chordata; Actinopteri; Cyprinodontiformes; Poeciliidae.
AUACACCGUCCGUCGGAUCGUGGACUCCCGUCGGCGAGGUCGCGGCUGGCAGUACCUCGUCGAUUGGGAGGGCUACGGUCCGGAGGACAGGUCCUGGAUCUCUGGUUCUUCCAUCCUGGACCCUUCCCUUAUCUCCGACUAUCGUUCCUCGUUGCCUUCCAGUUCGUCUAGGCCGCCAGGUGGCGACCGUUGAGGGGGGGGUACUGUUAUGUUCCGGGGUUCUGGCUGCAUGGUGGGAGUUCCUGUGCACCCUUAUUACCUUUUACCACCAGAUGGCGACAGGUUCCGGCUGGAGUGCGGUGCAUUAUUAUCCGCAGCUGUUCGUGAUCAUCCUCAUCAGCGGCGCAGACUUAAGGAGUUGGCCGCCAGUCCAGCGUCGCCUGAGUGUUAGCCAGUCACGGUGAUCCUUUGAUGAGAUCCCGGUUGAAUUCCUGGCUUUUGAACCAUCCUCGUGACGCCGUGGAAAGUAUCCACAGGUUGCCCGAGUUCCCAGACUUACCUCUCCGUUGUUUUGGCAAUUAUCUCCUGGACCCCACGGCUGGCGGCCGUACCACUCCUCCGUCUCCCCGCUGCUCUCGUGCCUACCUGUCCGCUGCCCACCGCACUCCUCCGUUGUUCCUGGACCCACCAAGAACCGAGACCCCGGACAUACUCGGUUUCCCCUCCAAGACUCUGUUCAUCAGCAACAAUGAACCAUUGUUGCCGUCCCUGUUUUUGCCCCUGGACCAGACCAUCCUGAUUCUCACUGAUAAUUGUGUGAUCUUUAUUAAAUCAUUUAACACUGA